AUUGAACGCUGGCGGCAGGCCUAACACAUGCAAGUCGAGCGGAUGAAGGGAGCUUGCUCCUGGAUUCAGCGGCGGACGGGUGAGUAAUGCCUAGGAAUCUGCCUGGUAGUGGGGGAUAACGUCCGGAAACGGGCGCUAAUACCGCAUACGUCCUGAGGGAGAAAGUGGGGGAUCUUCGGACCUCACGCUAUCAGAUGAGCCUAGGUCGGAUUAGCUAGUUGGUGGGGUAAAGGCCUACCAAGGCGACGAUCCGUAACUGGUCUGAGAGGAUGAUCAGUCACACUGGAACUGAGACACGGUCCAGACUCCUACGGGAGGCAGCAGGGGGGAAGAUUGGACAAUGGGCGAAAGCCUGAUCCAGCCAUGCCGCGUGUGUGAAGAAGGUCUUCGGAUUGUAAAGCACUUUAAGUUGGGAGGAAGGGCAGUAAGUUAAUACCUUGCUGUUUUGACGUUACCAACAGAAGAAGCACCGGCUAACUUCGUG
Molecule: ribosomal RNA, 484 nt
Filed under: uncultured bacterium
Lineage: Bacteria
Description: partial 16S ribosomal RNA
Rfam family: Bacterial small subunit ribosomal RNA
Source: RNAcentral